GAUGAAGAACGCAGCGAAAUGCGAUAAGUAAUGUGAAUUGCAGAAUCCCGUGAACCAUCGAGUCUUUGAACGCAAGUUGCGCCCGAAGCCAUUAGGCCGAGGGCACGCCUGCCUGGGUGUCACACACCGUUACCCUCGCGCCAACGUCCAUCGUUGGCCGCGGCGCGGGGCGUGCGCUGACCUCCCGCGAGCGGGGUCUCGUGGUUGGUUGAAAAUCGAGUUCGCGGUCGAGGGUGCCGUGAUGAAAUGGUGGAUGGGCGACGCCCGAGGCCAAUCACGCGCGACUCUGUCCGGCUCGGACUCCUGGACCCCUUCGGCGUCUCCGGACGCUCUUUGGCGAGACCUCAGGUCAGGAGGGGCUACCCGCUGAGUUUAAGCAUAUCAAUAAGCGGAGGA
RNAcentral lists this unclassified non-coding RNA (396 nucleotides) under soil metagenome. RNAcentral describes it as "partial contains 5.8S ribosomal RNA, internal transcribed spacer 2, and large subunit ribosomal RNA". The stretch from base 1 to 122 matches the Rfam family "5.8S ribosomal RNA", at positions 35 to 154 of the family's 154-position model. The record is from RNAcentral.